RNAcentral lists this ribosomal RNA (432 nucleotides) under uncultured bacterium. RNAcentral's name for it is "bacterial SSU rRNA". It matches the Rfam family "Bacterial small subunit ribosomal RNA", at positions 355 to 786 of the family's 1533-position model. The record is from RNAcentral.
UGAGGAAUAUUGGUCAAUGGGCGGGAGCCUGAACCAGCCAAGCCGCGUGAAGGAAGAAGGCGCUAAGCGUCGUAAACAUCUUUUGUCGGGGAACAAAGGUCCGGACGUGUCCGGAUGAGAGUGUACCCGAAGAAAAAGCAUCGGCUAACUCCGUGCCAGCAGCCGCGGUAAUACGGAGGAUGCGAGCGUUAUCCGGAUUUAUUGGGUUUAAAGGGUGCGUAGGCGGUCUGUUAAGUCAGCGGUAAAAGCCCGGGGCUCAACCCGGCGAGCCGUUGAACUGGCGGACUAGAGAGGGCGAGAAGUCACGCGGAAUGCGCAGUGUAGCGGUGAAAUGCAUAGAUAUUGCGCAGAACUCCGAUUGCGAAGGCAGCGUACCGGCGCCUUUCUGACGCUGAGGCACGAAAGCGUGGGUAUCGAACAGGAUUAGAUACC